CCUACGGGAGGCAGCAGUCGAGGAUCUUCGGCAAUGGGCGCAAGCCUGACCGAGCGACGCCGCGUGUGGGAUGAAGGCCCUUGGGUUGUAAACCACUGUCAGGGGGGACGAAAUGCGCGCGGGUACUCCCGUGCGUUUGACAGAGCCCCAGAGGAAGCACGGGCUAAGUUCGUGCCAGCAGCCGCGGUAAUACGAACUGUGCAAACGUUAUUCGGAAUCACUGGGCUUAAAGGGUGCGUAGGCGGCUUAUUAAGCAGGGUGUGAAAGCCCCCGGCUCAACCGGGGAAUAGCGCUCUGAACUGAUGAGCUGGAGCGAGGCAGGGGUGCGCGGAACUUCCAGUGGAGCGGUGAAAUGUGUUGAUAUUGGAAGGAACACCGGAGGCGAAAGCGGCGCACUGGGUCUUGUCUGACGCUGAGGCACGAAAGCCAGGGGAGCAAACGGGAUUAGAUACCCCGGUAGUCCUGGCCGUAAACGCUGAGUACUAGUGGGGAGGUCCGCGAGGGCUUUCUCACGGAGCGAAAGUUUUAAGUACUCCGCCUGGGGAGUAUGGUCGCCAGGCUGAAACUCAAAUGAAUUGACGG
Molecule: ribosomal RNA, 582 nt
Filed under: uncultured bacterium
Lineage: Bacteria
Description: bacterial SSU rRNA
Rfam family: Bacterial small subunit ribosomal RNA
Source: RNAcentral